GCCAGCCGCUCAGAACUUAAGGAAUGACGGGGCCGCACAAGCGGUGGAGUAUGUGGUUUAAUUCGAUGCAACGCGAAGAACCUUACCUGGUCUUGACAUCCCGGAGACCCUUAGGAAACUAGGGGGUGCUUCCAUCUGGAAGAAUCUGGAGACAGGUGCUGCAUGGCUGUCGUCAGCUCGUGUCGUGAGAUGUUGGGUUAAGUCCCGCAACGAGCGCAACCCUUGCCUUUAGUUGCCAGCAGUUCGGCUGGGCACUCUAAAGGGACUGCCGGUGUUAAACCGGAGGAAGGUGGGGAUGACGUCAAGUCCUCAUGGCCUUUAUGACCAGGGCUACACACGUACUACAAUGGCCGAUACAAAGGGCAGCGACACUGCGAGGUGAAGCCAAUCCCGUAAAAUCGGUCUCAGUCCGGAUUGGAGUCUGCAACUCGACUCCAUGAAGUUGGAAUCGCUAGUAAUCGUGGAUCAGCAUGCCACGGUGAAUACGUUCCCGGGCCUU
Molecule: ribosomal RNA, 499 nt
Filed under: uncultured Desulfobulbus sp.
Lineage: Bacteria; Pseudomonadati; Thermodesulfobacteriota; Desulfobulbia; Desulfobulbales; Desulfobulbaceae
Description: bacterial SSU rRNA
Rfam family: Bacterial small subunit ribosomal RNA
Source: RNAcentral